Molecule: ribosomal RNA, 233 nt
Filed under: uncultured bacterium
Lineage: Bacteria
Description: partial 16S ribosomal RNA
Rfam family: Bacterial small subunit ribosomal RNA
Source: RNAcentral
CGGGACGGGUGAGUAAUGUCUGGGAAACUGCCUGAUGGAGGGGGAUAACUGCUGGAAACGGUAGCUAAUACCGCAUAACGUCGCAAGACCAAAGAGGGGGACCUUCGGGCCUCUUGCCAUCGGAUGUGCCCAGAUGGGAUUAGCUAGUAGGUGGGGUAACGGCUCACCUAGGCGACGAUCCCUAGCUGGUCUGAGAGGAUGACCAGCCACACUGGAACUGAAACACGGUCCAG